Long non-coding RNA from Acipenser ruthenus (sterlet), 2250 nucleotides. RefSeq lists it as uncharacterized. The transcript is spliced from 3 exons. Lineage: Eukaryota; Metazoa; Chordata; Actinopteri; Acipenseriformes; Acipenseridae. The record is from RefSeq and is a predicted model, not a curated record.
AGUGUGUGUGCAUCAGUGUGUGUGUGAGUGUGUGUGUGCGUUGGUGUGUGUGUCAGUGUGUGUGCGUUGGUGUGUGUCAGUGUGUGUGUGUCUGUGUGUGCGUUGGUGUGUGUGUCAGUGUGUGUGCGUUGGUGUAUGUGUCGGUGUGUGUGCGUCGGUGUAUGUGUGUCAGUGUGUGAGCGUCAGUGUGUGUGUGUCAGUGUGUGUGCGUUGGUGUGUGUGUCAGUGUGUGAGCGUCAGUGUGUGUGUGUCAGUGUGUGUGCGUUGGUGUGUGUGUCAGUGUGUGUGCGUGGUGUGUGUGUCAGUGUGUGUGCGUUGGUGUGUGUGUCAGUGUGUGUGCGUUGGUGUGUGUGUCAGUGUGUGUGCGUUGGUGUGUGUGUCAGUGUGUGUGCGUCGGUGUGUGUGUCAGUGUGUGAGCGUCAGUGUGUGCGUCAGUAUGUUAGUUUAUGUCUGUGUGUGCGUCAGUAUCUGUGUGUGUGCGUUAGUGUCAGUGUGUGUGUGUGUCAGUGUGCGUUGGUGUGUGUCUGUGUGUGUGCAUUGGUGUGUGUCAGUGUGCGUUUGUGUGUGUGUGUGUGUGUGUCAGUGUGCGUUGGUGUGUGUCUGUGUGUGUGCAUUGGUGUGUGUCAGUGUGCGUUUGUGUGUGUGUGUGUGUGUGUGUGUGUGUAGACUUCCAAAACUGAGUAAAUGCAUCAUACAACCAUAGUUAACUUGCUUAACUUUUCUAAUGGCAUUGUAAUGGAUUGCUACACUGUUGCUGUGACUGGCUGUGCUGUGCUGAGCUGAGCCCUGAUGCUUCAUGUUACCGUGAUAAAUCUUGAUGUAUAAUAAUGUUCUGCACGCUUGCUAAGUGUUCGGUGGCUGCCUCUAAUCAAAUUCAGAGCGCAUUUCUCAGGUCUGUCAUACAAAGUGCAAGAGAAAGUACUCUGAACUCGAUCAGAGGAAACCGCCGAACACUUAGGAGUCAUUAAAUCUAAAUAAAAUAAAAAAGACCCAGACAAAAACCUGCUAUUGAUCUGUUUAGGUAGACCCCGUUGUGGUUUAAAUGUCUGGAAAGCUUCAUAGACUUUGUGAGUGCGGGAGCUGCACUCUCAGACCAGUAGCUAGUAGAUUGCAAUGGAGACUUCUAAUGGUUUUUACUGGGUUGUGUUGAGCUGAACUGAAUCAUUCUGUUAUUUUUUUAUUUUUUCCAGCUCUGCCGCUUGAGGACAGUCCCACAGCCAGCCCCUGCCUGCGUCUCCGUCUCUCAGUGUGUUGUGAAACAACUGCAGGAUCGCAAGUGGAGGUUCCAGCAGGGACCACGGCCCCCCAGAGUGGAGUCUCCUCCCUGCUCCAGAGUCCCGAGACCCUCCUCGCUCUGUCCCUACUGAGCGUGUGCAUCUCCCUGCUCCUCCCCCUCCCCCUCAGAGACUGAAGCAAACCCAGCGACGACAAACACAAACCGGACAGCACUUUAGAGACGGGUGACAGACAGACGGAUAGUUUUCCAGCAAAGCCAGCGUCUAGCACACUCUCUGUAUCCCUAUACAUUUUAUAAGGCUUUUUUCAGUGCAAAGUAUUUGAUCACACAAAGGGACAGGCAAGUCCUUUCUGUCUUCAGCAAAAAAAAAACGAACAAACAGAAAAUAUCCAGCUGUUCUCUUUUAGGAGAGAAUUCUAAUGACGGACCACAAAUUCCUGAUUCACUGCACGCUGGCACGCACGCACACACCGACACGCACGCGCGCACUGACGCGCGCACACACACACACACACACACACACACAGCUGUGUCUAAAUGCUUCUCCACUGAAACAUGUUUUUUUUUUACUUAUCGUUUUUUUAUUGUCGGUUUAAUCUGGUCAAGUUUUAAUUGCUGUUCCUCUGUUUGGUUUUAUCAUACUUUCCCAAUCUCCUGGGAACAGGACUGACGCGCACACACGCACACACACACACACACACACACAGCUGCACAGAGUUAACACCAGUCCCUUCAGACACAAACGCAUCAUUACUGAGCUGUGUGAGUGAAUGCGAGAGGAGACUUCCACUGCUGGGGAAGAAGAGAAACACACUGAGGCGCACACACACGCACACACACACACACACACACACACACGGGGACUGAUAGAGAGGGAGAAACACACACUAACUAAGUCACACAGACACAGGGACUGAUACAGAGAGGGAGAAACGCACACUAACUCACUCACACACACACACACACUUGGGUUUCAUAGUGUUUAUGUAGACUUUGCAUUGACUCUCAUACAC